UACGGGGGGGGCAAGCGUUGUUCGGAAUUACUGGGCGUAAAGGGCUCGUAGGCGGCCAACUCAGUCAGACGUGAAAUCCCUCGGCUUAACCGGGGAACGGCAUCUGAUACUGGAUGGCUGGAGUUCGGGAGAGGGAUGCGGAAUUCCAGGUGUAGCGGUGAAAUGCGUAGAUAUCUGGAGGAACACCGGUGGCGAAGGCGGCAUCCUGGACCGACACUGACGCUGAGGAGCGAAAGCCAGGGGAGCAAACGGG
Molecule: ribosomal RNA, 253 nt
Filed under: uncultured bacterium
Lineage: Bacteria
Description: partial 16S ribosomal RNA
Rfam family: Bacterial small subunit ribosomal RNA
Source: RNAcentral